GACGAACGCUGGCGGCGUGCCUAAUACAUGCAAGUUGAGCGCUGAAGGUUGGUACUUGUACCAACUGGAUGAGCAGCGAACGGGUGAGUAACGCGUGGGGAAUCUGCCUUUGAGCGGGGGACAACAUUUGGAAACGAAUGCUAAUACCGCAUAAAAACUUUAAACACAAGUUUUAAGUUUGAAAGAUGCAAUUGCAUCACUCAAAGAUGAUCCCGCGUUGUAUUAGUUAGUGGGUGAGGUAAAGGCUAACCAAGGCGAUGAUACAUAGCCGACCUGAGAGGGUGAUCGGCCACAUUGGGACUGAGACACGGCCCAAACUCCUACGGGAGGCAGCAGUAGGGAAUCUUCGGCAAUGGACGAAAGUCUGACCGAGCAACGCCGCGUGAGUGAAGAAGGUUUUCGGAUCGUAAAACUCUGUUGGUAGAGAAGAACGUUGGUGAGAGUGGAAAGCUCAUCAAGUGACGGUAACUACCCAGAAAGGGACGGCUAACUACGUG
RNAcentral lists this ribosomal RNA (497 nucleotides) under uncultured bacterium. RNAcentral describes it as "partial 16S ribosomal RNA". It matches the Rfam family "Bacterial small subunit ribosomal RNA", at positions 28 to 507 of the family's 1533-position model. The record is from RNAcentral.